AUUGAACGCUGGCGGCAUGCCUUACACAUGCAAGUCGAACGGCAGCGCGGACUUCGGUCUGGCGGCGAGUGGCGAACGGGUGAGUAAUACAUCGGAACGUACCCUGUUGUGGGGGAUAACUAGUCGAAAGAUUAGCUAAUACCGCAUACGACCUGAGGGUGAAAGUGGGGGACCGCAAGGCCUCACGCAGCAGGAGCGGCCGAUGUCUGAUUAGCUAGUUGGUGGGGUAAAGGCCCACCAAGGCGACGAUCAGUAGCUGGUCUGAGAGGACGAUAAGCCCAACUGGGGCUGAGAGAGGGCCCGGACUCCUACGGGAGGCAGCAGUGGGGAAUUUUGGACAAUGGGGGCAACCCUGAUCCAGCAAUGCCGCGUGUGUGAAGAAGGCCUUCGGGUUGUAAAGCACUUUUGUCCGGAAAGAAAUCGCGCUGGUUAAUACCUGGCGUGGAUGACGGUACCGGAAGAAUAAGCACCGGCUAACUACGUGCCAGCAGCCGCGGUAA
This 500-nucleotide ribosomal RNA is filed under the name uncultured bacterium. Its description in RNAcentral is "partial 16S ribosomal RNA". It matches the Rfam family "Bacterial small subunit ribosomal RNA", at positions 29 to 523 of the family's 1533-position model. The record is from RNAcentral.